RNAcentral lists this ribosomal RNA (229 nucleotides) under uncultured bacterium. Its description in RNAcentral is "partial 16S ribosomal RNA". It matches the Rfam family "Bacterial small subunit ribosomal RNA", at positions 15 to 248 of the family's 1533-position model. The record is from RNAcentral.
GAUCCUGGCUCAGGAUGAACGCUGGCGGCGUGCCUAAUACAUGCAAGUCGAACGCUUCACUUCGGUGAAGAGUGGCGAACGGGUGAGUAAUACAUAAGUAACCUGGCAUCUACAGGGGGAUAACUGAUGGAAACGUCAGCUAAGACCGCAUAGGUGUAGAGAUCGCAUGAACUCUAUAUGAAAAGUGCUACGGGACUGGUAGAUGAUGGACUUAUGGCGCAUUAGUUUG